This 288-nucleotide ribosomal RNA is filed under the name Eumenes sp. RNAcentral describes it as "partial 28S ribosomal RNA". The record is from RNAcentral. Lineage: Eukaryota; Metazoa; Arthropoda; Insecta; Hymenoptera; Vespidae.
AGCGUCAGCGGCGCUGGCUCGACAUAGUAUGCGGUGUCGUGAGGGAUACCUUAACGACAUUCCUUAUAGCUAUGCCGCGUCCGGUGUCGUCGUCGUGCACUUCUCCUCUAGUAGAACGUCGCGACCCGUUGGGUGCCGGUCUACGGCCCGAGGUGCGGACUGUCACGUCGCUUCGGCGUAUGCGUCAGACCCUCGGUUGCCUGGCCGGCUGCUCGGCGGUAGAACGCACGGUAUCUGGCCGCAAUUUUCGAAAUGCGUCGGGUCCACCGCAAGCGAGAUCAGUGUCCC